This 106-nucleotide microRNA precursor is filed under the name Marmota monax (woodchuck). Lineage: Eukaryota; Metazoa; Chordata; Mammalia; Rodentia; Sciuridae. The record is from RNAcentral.
ACUUGAAUCACCUUGGAAUCAAAUUAAAAUUCAGAUUCUGAUUCAGUAAGUCUUGCAUGGGAGCCAUUGGUUCUCCAUUUUUAACAAGGUCCCAGGUAAUAUAUAU